This 558-nucleotide small RNA is filed under the name Pan troglodytes (chimpanzee). Its description in RNAcentral is "retained intron". The record is from RNAcentral. Lineage: Eukaryota; Metazoa; Chordata; Mammalia; Primates; Hominidae.
GUGUGAAAGUAAAGAUUUACCUGAUACAGUUAGAACAGUAUUAAAACAAGAAAUGAAUCGUCUUUUUGGAGCAACGAAUCCAAAGAAUUUUAAUGAAACUUUUCUGAAAAGGAAUUCUGAUUCAUUGCCACACAGAUUAUCAGCUGCCAAAAUGGUAUAUUACUUAGAUCCUUCUAGUCAGAAGCGAGCUAUAGAGUUGGCAACAACACUUGAUGAAUCUCUCACUAACAGAAACCUCCAGGUAAAGAGUUUUUCAUAAUCUCUCUGUAAGAAUACUUAACUACUUUUUUCACCAAGAGAAAUAAUUGGGUAUUUAUACACACUGUUUUUUAAAUCAUUGUGAAUCUGGGUCAGAAACAACUUAUCUUAAAAUUUAUUUAGGCUGCUUGGCAUUCAGUAACUAGUUUCACAUCUGUAGCUUGGAAUAACUUUUUAAGAAAUAUGUUUUAAUAAAAUCAUAUACAUUCCAUCGUCAUUUUUGGAUUUCACCUCAUAUCUCUGCAUUUCUGAGCAAGCAGUGGUCUCAGUGGAGAUUCUAACAUGUUUAAAAUGUAUUUU